AUGUUUAUACUGUGGAGGCUCAGAACACAACAUCUACUCAUGCCCGGUAAAAGAGCCAGCCCGGUAGUAAACUUGAGGCUACUAUCGGGUGGGAUCUCCGCUGGGAAGUCCUCAACAACAUCAUCGACCCUCCUUCCGGUGAAACUGUGGUGGAAGAAUCACUCUCAUGAAUGUCACGCCCUUCUGGACUCCGGAGCCGAAGGUAAUUUCAUAGAUUCUUCCCUGGCACAUCACCUGAACAUUCCUGUCCUGCCUGUGUCUCUCCCCAUCCACGUCACCGCACUCAACGGCCAGGAACUGCCUCACGUCACACACCACACAGAACCCAUCACACUACUCACUUCUGGCAAUCAUCGCGAGACCAUAUCCUUUUUCCUCAUGGACUCCCCUGUUGCUCCCAUUGUGUUAGGUCACCCCUGGUUAACCAAACAUAAUCCACGAGUGGAAUGGGGUUCCAACACAGUCACAUUGUGGAGUGAAAGUUGUCAUGAGUAUUGUCUGGUUUCUGCUUGUCCUGUUGUCCCUGUUUCUGUCUUUCAGAAGGAGAACAUGGUGUUGCCAAACGUGCCCGUAGAGUACCUGGACCUGAAGGAAGUGUUCAUUCCUGUGCCAUCCUCUCCUGCUGCCUUCUCACCGUCAUCAUCCGGAUUCCUCACCACCUCACCACCAUCUUGGAUUUUUGUCUUCCCAGCAUCAUUGUCUUUUCCCUGUUUGUUUAUUUAUUUUCAUUAAAAACCCAUAACUCGCUAUUGUUUCCAGUCCUUCCUUCACCCAGCCGUCACAUUGUAUCUCUCUAUUAGUGCUAUUGGAUCUUAGCGCUGCGUUCGACACUAUUGACCACAACAUUCUUUUGCAUAGACUAGAAAACUUUGUUGGUAUUAAUGGAAGUGCAUUAACAUGGUUUAAAUCGUACCUAUAUGACCGCCAUCAAUUUGUUCCAGUGAAUGAAGAGGUAUCAUAUCGAUCACAAGUGCAGUAUGGAGUACCUCCGGUCUCAGUACUAGGACCGUUACUCUUCACGCUUUACAUGUUACCCUUGGGAGAUAUCAUCAGGAAACAUGGUGUUAGCUUUCACUGUUAUGCUGAUGAUACUCAGCUCUAUAUUUCUUUGCGGCCCAGCAAAACAUACCAAUUUGAAGGGAAUGCAUAGUCGAUAUAAAAAACUGGAUGUCGAGUAACUUCUUACUGCUAAAUUCUGAAAAAACAGAGGUGUUAAUUAUAGGACCUAAAAACUCUUCAUGUAAUAACCUAGAACGCUGUCUAAGACUUGAUGAGUGCUCUGUCAAUUCUUUGUCAUCAGUAAGGAACCUAGGUGUGCUAUUUGAUAGCAAUCUUUCCUUAGAAAGCCACAUUUCUAGCAUUUGUAAAACUGCAUUUUUCCAUCUCAAAAAUAUAUCUAAAUUACGACCUAUGCUCUCAAUGUCAAAUGCAGAAAUGUUAAUUCAUGCGUUUAUGACCUCAAGGUUAGAUUAUUGUAAUGCUUUAUUGGGUGGUUGUUCUGUAUGCUUAAUAAACAAACUCCAGCUGGUCCAAAAUGCAGGAGCUAGAGUUCUUACUAGAACCAGGAAGUAUGACCAUAUUAGUCCAGUUCUGUCAACACUGCACUGGCUACCUAUUAAACAUUGUAUAGAUUUUAAAAUCUUGCUUAUUACUUAUAAAGCCCUGAAUGGUUCAGCACCUCAGUAUUUGAACGAGCUCUGGUUACAUUAUAGUCCUCUGCGUCCGCUGUGUUCUCAAAACACUGGCAAUUUGAUAAUACCUAGAAUAUCAAAGUCAACUGCGGGCGGCAGAUCCUUUUCCUAUUUAGCGCCUUAAAUCUGGAAUAACCUACCUAACAUUGUUCGGGAGGCAGACACAAUCUUGCAGUUUAAAUCUAGAUGAAAAGCCCUAUCUCUUUAACCUGGCUUACACAUAACACACUAAUACGCUUCUAAUAUCCAAAUCCGUUAAAGGAUUUUUAGGCUGCAUUAAUUAGGUAAACCAGAAUAGGGAACACUUCCCAUAACACUCGUUGUACUUGCUACAUCAUUAGAAGAAUGUCAUCUACGCUAAUAUUAGUCUGUUUCUCUCUUAUUCCGAGGUCACCGUAGCCACCAGAUCCAGUCUGUAUCCAGAUCAGAUGGUCACUGCAGUCACCCAGAUCCAGUACGUAUCCAGCCCAGAUGGUGGAUCAGCACCUAGAAGAGACCUCUACAGCCCUCAAAGACAGCGGAGACCAGGACAAUUAGAUGAGCCCCAGAUACAGAUCCCCUGUAAAGACCUUGUCUCAGACGACCACCGGGAAAAGACCACAGGAAACAAAUGAUUCUUCUGCACAAUCUGACUUUGCUGCAGCCUGGAAUUGAACUGCUGGUUUCGUCUGGCCAGAGGAGAACUGGCCCCCCGACUGAGCCUGGUUUCUCCCAAUGUUUUUUCUCCAUUCUGUCACCGAUGCAGUUUUGGUUCCUUGCCGCUGUCACCUCUGGCAUGCUUAGUUGGGGACACUUAAUUUACAGCAAUAUCAUUGACUCGAUUGCAAAUGAUUGCACAGAUACUAUUUAAACUGAACUGAGCUGAAUGAUGACAUCACUGAAUUCAAUGAUGAACUGCCUUUAACUGUCAUUUUGCAUUAUUGACACACUGUUUUCCUAAUUAAUGGUGUUCAGUUGCUUUGACACAAUCUGUUUUGUAUAAAGCGCUAUAUAAAUAAAGGUGACUUGACUAUACU
This is a long non-coding RNA of Cyprinus carpio carpio, 2707 nucleotides long. The record is from Ensembl. NCBI's taxonomy places the organism in Eukaryota, Metazoa, Chordata, Actinopteri, Cypriniformes, Cyprinidae.